Molecule: unclassified non-coding RNA, 788 nt
Filed under: Leishmania donovani
Lineage: Eukaryota; Euglenozoa; Kinetoplastea; Trypanosomatida; Trypanosomatidae
Description: gene:unknown
Source: RNAcentral
GGAAAUCUCGCACGACGUGCGCGGCUCUGUAGACAAGAGCAGCUCAUGUUUCCCUCCUCCCCUCUUUGCUUCCCUGAUUCUUCUUCAAGAGCGCAUCUUCACCCCUGAUGACGACGCGGGGGGGGCACAUGCCUCUGUGCGUCGUGUCUCUGAGCCCAGUGCCCACUCUCUCUGUGGGGAAGCCAAGCAGCCCCUAUUCCUGCCACUGCACAACCACCUCUGGUGGUGACAGGGUCAGGCGCGCGUGACGUAGGGACGUCAGAGCGAUGUAUCACUGCCGAUGUCCGCAGUGUCCGGUGCUGGACGGCGUGGCGCCGGAGCGACCCGCGGCCGCGCACACGUUUUCGCCAUCCACAGGAUGGGCGGAGUGUCGGCGUGACUCGAACGCGUCCCACCCCCGGCCCUCACUGCCCACUGGGGGCGGGGUGAGCCUGGCCCCCCCCGAGAGGGAUGCCCCGGGUGAUGGCCAGCAUAAUGUGCGUGGCUGUGGGGCGACCUGUGGGGCGGGGUUGGGUAAGGUUCGAGGCAGAAGCCAUGCACCGAUGACCGGGUCUGGGCAUUGCUGCACCUCGUGUGCCUACGGCUGCCUCGCGCCGCGCGACGGGGCCUGUGACCGGCCGGGCAGAGAUGAGCUUAGCUCUUGUUGUGUGGUGGCAUGGGCGUGGAAGGAAAACGAAAGGGCUCGUCUUCAGCAUCAUCACUGCCAGCCGCUGCCGUCACUGUCUCCAUCAACAGCAGCAGCGUUUGCUGUAGCGCCAUCUCGGAAGGAGAUGAGGCCGAAUCCAUCC